RNAcentral lists this unclassified non-coding RNA (143 nucleotides) under uncultured fungus. Its description in RNAcentral is "sequence contains ITS1, 5.8S rRNA gene". The record is from RNAcentral. Lineage: Eukaryota; Fungi.
CCAGAGAUGGCGGGCCCUGCGCCCCCGUCCCCAACCCUUUGUUGACCAAACCACUUUUGCCUCGGGGGCAGAGCGGCCUCCGCCGCCCCCGGUGGACCAUUUAACGCUGUCUCUGUACGUCGGAGUCUUUGAUAAAUAAAUGA